RNAcentral lists this long non-coding RNA (202 nucleotides) under Elaeis guineensis (African oil palm). RNAcentral describes it as "long non-coding RNA (EGUI_LNC008363)". The record is from RNAcentral. Lineage: Eukaryota; Viridiplantae; Streptophyta; Magnoliopsida; Arecales; Arecaceae.
AAGGACUGUCCUGGCCAAGAUCUUACUAAAUUGAAACAUAAAGCAUUCUCUCCAAUCCCUUGAAGUGAUCAAUUUUAUCUUGACUCAUGUACCAACUUGACAAGUAUUUGACUGUACCCAAAAUUCUUUCGAUCUCAAAUUAGAAAUUCAGAUAGUCUGGCAUCAAAGUAUAGUGAGUUGCUUACAACUCACCGUGGUGAUC